GAGUAAUGUCUGGGAAACUGCCUGAUGGAGGGGGAUAACUACUGGAAACGGUGGCUAAUACCGCAUAACGUCGCAAGACCAAAGAGGGGGACCUUCGGGCCUCUUGCCAUCAGAUGUGCCCAGAUGGGAUUAGCUAGUUGGUGAGGUAACGGCUCACCAAGGCGACGAUCCCUAGCUGGUCUGAGAGGAUGACCAGCCACACUGGAACUGAGACACGGUCCAGACUCCUACGGGAGGCAGCAGUGGGGAAUAUUGCACAAUGGGCGCAAGCCUGAUGCAGCCAUGCCGCGUGUAUGAAGAAGGCCUUCGGGUUGUAAAGUACUUUCAGCGGGGAGGAAGGUGUUGUGGUUAAUAACCGCAGCAAUUGACGUUACCCGCAGAAGAAGCACCGGCUAACUCCGUGCCAGCAGCCGCGGUAAUACGGAGGGUGCAAGCGUUAAUCGGAAUUACUGGGCGUAAAGCGCACGCAGGCGGUCUGUCAAGUCGGAUGUGAAAUCCCCGGGCUCAACCUGGGAACUGCAUUCGAAACUGGCAGGCUUGAGUCUUGUAGAGGGGGGUAGAAUUCCAGGUGUAGCGGUGAAAUGCGUAGAGAUCUGGAGGAAUACCGGUGGCGAAGGCGGCCCCCUGGACAAAGACUGACGCUCAGGUGCGAAAGCGUGGGGAGCAAACAGGAUUAGAUACCCUGGUAGUCCACGCCGUAAACGAUGUCUACUUGGAGGUUGUGCCCUUGAGGCGUGGCUUCCGGAGCUAACGCGUUAAGUAGACCGCCUGGGGAGUACGGCCGCAAGGUUAAAACUCAAAUGAAUUGACGGGGGCCCGCACAAGCGGUGGAGCAUGUGGUUUAAUUCGAUGCAACGCGAAGAACCUUACCUGGUCUUGACAUCCACAGAACUUUCCAGAGAUGGAUUGGUGCCUUCGGGAACUGUGAGACAGGUGCUGCAUGGCUGUCGUCAGCUCGUGUUGUGAAAUGUUGGGUUAAGUCCCGCAACGAGCGCAACCCUUAUCCUUUGUUGCCAGCGGUUAGGCCGGGAACUCAAAGGAGACUGCCAGUGAUAAACUGGAGGAAGGUGGGGAUGACGUCAAGUCAUCAUGGCCCUUACGACCAGGGCUACACACGUGCUACAAUGGCGCAUACAAAGAGAAGCGACCUCGCGAGAGCAAGCGGACCUCAUAAAGUGCGUCGUAGUCCGGAUUGGAGUCUGCAACUCGACUCCAUGAAGUCGGAAUCGCUAGUAAUCGUGGAUCAGAAUGCCACGGUGAAUACGUUCCCGGGCCUUGUACACACCGCCCGUCACACCAUGGGAGUGGGUUGCAAAAGAAGUAGGUAGCUUAACCUUCGGGAGGGCGCUUACCACUUUGUGAUUCAUGACUGGGGUGAAGUCGUAACAAGGUAACCGUAGGGGAACCUGCGGUUGGAUCACCUCCUUACCUUAAAGAA
RNAcentral lists this ribosomal RNA (1438 nucleotides) under Salmonella enterica subsp. enterica serovar Newport. RNAcentral describes it as "bacterial SSU rRNA". It matches the Rfam family "Bacterial small subunit ribosomal RNA". The record is from RNAcentral. Lineage: Bacteria; Pseudomonadati; Pseudomonadota; Gammaproteobacteria; Enterobacterales; Enterobacteriaceae.